GACGAACGCUGGCGGCGUGCUUAACACAUGCAAGUCGAACGGAAAGGCCCUGCUUUUGUGGGGUGCUCGAGUGGCGAACGGGUGAGUAACACGUGAGUAACCUGCCCUUGACUUUGGGAUAACUUCAGGAAACUGGGGCUAAUACCGGAUAGGAGCUCCCGCUGCAUGGUGGGGGUUGGAAAGUUUCGGCGGUUGGGGAUGGACUCGCGGGUUAUCAGCUUGUUGGUGGGGUAGUGGCUUACCAAGGCUUUGACGGGUAGCCGGCCUGAGAGGGUGAACGGCCACAUUGGGACUGAGAGACGGCCCAGAGUCCUACGGGAGGCAGCAGUGGGGAAUAUUGCACAAUGGGCGGAAGCCUGAUGCAGCAACGCCGCGUGCGGGAUGACGGCCUUCGGGUUGUAAACCGCUUUCGCCUGUGACGAAGCGUGAGUGACGGUAAUGGGUAAAGAAGCACCGGCUAACUACGUG
RNAcentral lists this ribosomal RNA (468 nucleotides) under uncultured bacterium. RNAcentral describes it as "partial 16S ribosomal RNA". It matches the Rfam family "Bacterial small subunit ribosomal RNA", at positions 28 to 507 of the family's 1533-position model. The record is from RNAcentral.